CUCACGGGGUGUGUACUGGGUGUUGGUUUCCAUCCUCGAGGAGAACGUANCNGGCAUUAAGUUGUUUGGNACGGGGUCCUCGUCAUUUACUGUGAGCAAACUAGAGUGUUCAAAGCAGGCUUAUGCCGUUGAAUACAUUAGCAUGGAAUAAUAAGAUAUGACCUUGGUCUAUUUUGUUGGUUUGUAUUCCAAGGUAAUGAUUAAUAGGGACAGUUGGGGGUAUUCGUAUUCAAUUGUCAGAGGUGAAAUUCUUGGAUUUAUGGAAGACGAACUACUGCGAAAGCAUUUACCAAGGAUGUUUUCAUUAAUCAAGAACGAAAGUUAGGGGAUCGAAGAUGAUUAGAUACCAUCGUAGUCUUAACCAUAAACUAUGCCGACUAGGGAUUGGUGGACAGUUAGUUUGACUCCUUCCAGCACCUUUAUGAAGAAAUCAAAGUCUUUGGGNUUCCGGGGGGAGUAUGGGUCGCAAGGGCUGAAAACUUAAAAGAAAUUUGACGGGAGGGCACCCACCCAGGAAGUGGGAGCCCUGCGGCUUAAUUUUGACUCAACACGGGGGAAAACUUUACCAGGUCCAGACAUAGUGAGGGAUUGACAGAUUGAU
Molecule: ribosomal RNA, 601 nt
Filed under: uncultured Synurophyceae
Lineage: Eukaryota; Synurophyceae
Description: bacterial SSU rRNA
Rfam family: Eukaryotic small subunit ribosomal RNA
Source: RNAcentral